UCCUACGGGACGCACCAGUAGGGAAUCUUCGGCAAUGGACGGAAGUCUGACCGAGCAACGCCGCGUGAGUGAAGAAGGUUUUCGGAUCGUAAAGCUCUGUUGUAAGAGAAGAACGAGUGUGAGAGUGGAAAGUUCACACUGUGACGGUAUCUUACCAGAAAGGGACGGCUAACUACGUGCCAGCAGCCGCGGUAAUACGUAGGUCCCGAGCGUUGUCCGGAUUUAUUGGGCGUAAAGCGAGCGCAGGCGGUUUGAUAAGUCUGAAGUUAAAGGCUGUGGCUUAACCAUAGUACGCUUUGGAAACUGUUUAACUUGAGUGCAGAAGGGGAGAGUGGAAUUCCAUGUGUAGCGGUGAAAUGCGUAGAUAUAUGGAGGAACACCGGUGGCGAAAGCGGCUCUCUGGUCUGUGACUGACGCUGAGGCUCGAAAGCGUGGGUAGCAAACAGGAUUAGAUACCCUGGUAGUCCACGCCGUAAACGCUGAGUGCUAGGUGUUAGGCCCUUUCCGGGGCUUAGUGCCGCAGCUAACGCAUUAAGCACUCCGCCUGGGGAGUACGACCGCAAGGUUGAAACUCAAAGGAAUUGACGGGG
This 590-nucleotide ribosomal RNA is filed under the name Xenorhabdus nematophila. Its description in RNAcentral is "bacterial SSU rRNA". It matches the Rfam family "Bacterial small subunit ribosomal RNA", at positions 337 to 918 of the family's 1533-position model. The record is from RNAcentral. Lineage: Bacteria; Pseudomonadati; Pseudomonadota; Gammaproteobacteria; Enterobacterales; Morganellaceae.